This 451-nucleotide ribosomal RNA is filed under the name Mogibacterium timidum. RNAcentral's name for it is "bacterial SSU rRNA". It matches the Rfam family "Bacterial small subunit ribosomal RNA", at positions 28 to 460 of the family's 1533-position model. The record is from RNAcentral. Lineage: Bacteria; Bacillati; Bacillota; Clostridia; Peptostreptococcales; Anaerovoracaceae.
GAUGAACGCUGGCGGCGUGCCUAAUACAUGCAAGUCGAGCGAGAAGCUUGGAAAUGACGCUUCGGUUGAUUUUCCAAGCGGACAGCGGCGGACGGGUGAGUAACGCGUAGGCAACCUGCCCCUGACAGAGGGAUAGCCAUUGGAAACGAUGAUUAAAACCUCAUGACACCGUAGUAGCACAUGCUACAUCGGUCAAAGAUUUAUCGGUCAGGGAUGGGCCUGCGUCUGAUUAACUGGUUGGUGAGGUAACGGCUCACCAAGGUGACGAUCAGUAGCCGACCUGAGAGGGUGAUCGGCCACAUUGGAACUGAGACACGGUCCAAACUUCUACGGAAGGCAGCAGUAGGGAAUCUUGCACAAUGGGCGAAAGCCUGAUGCAGCAACGCCGCGUGAAGGAUGAAGGCCUUCGGGUUGUAAACUUUCUGUUCUAAAGGGAAGAAAAGAAAUGAAC